This is a long non-coding RNA of Bactrocera neohumeralis, 1296 nucleotides long. RefSeq lists it as uncharacterized. The record is from RefSeq and is a predicted model, not a curated record. Lineage: Eukaryota; Metazoa; Arthropoda; Insecta; Diptera; Tephritidae. The transcript is spliced from 5 exons.
GGGGGAUUAAACAGAGGCUUAUAUAAUGAUCUUGAAAUUAAAGUGAAAAACCUUGGUUUUUACACGACGGAGACAGGAUUGUGCUUUUUGCUGAUGUCCCCCAUUUAAUAAAACUACAGAGAAAUCAUUUUGUGGAUAAGGGCUUUACUAUCAAUGGAAAAAUUGUUAGAAAAGACAUUAUUCUGAAGCUGCUCUCGCUUACCUCCAACGUGCUGUCCAUCACGCACAAAAUUUCCCAGAAGCAUUUGCCUAUAACAGGAGCAGAAAGGCAAAAGGUUAAACUAGCCACAAAAUUGUUCUCCCACACAAUUGCUCAAGCAAUAACUCGAGCCGCUAGUUUAGGUCUACUAGAUAACGAAAAUUGGGAGGAAUGCCAUCGACUUUUCAAAAUUACAAAUGACUGGUUUGAUCUGAUGAAUGUCAGGGUGCCCAAAGAUGGAGUGAGGGAACGCUUGCACGCCUACGGUUUGGCUUUGAAUAAGCAAAAUAAUGUACUGGAACAGAUGACGGAGAUGGUUUCAUCAAUGAGAGUCAUUGGUAAAAAUAGGUUGCUUCCAUUCCAAAAAGGUAUACUCCAAAGCAAUAAUGCUUUGAAAUUGCUGCUGGAUGACUUAAGGCAGCAGUACAAAAUUGAUUACGUUUUGACCUACCGAUUAAACCAGGACAAUUUGGAAAUUUUUUUUGGCACAAUGAGGUCACGAUCACCCUAACAGGCAGGAGUCCAAAUAUAGGCUGCGUUCCUAUAUACUUGGUCACUACGAAGGAGCGAACACAGAAGAAGGAAAUGUUGAAGUCGACAACACACCAGAUUUGGAAGGGAAUUACUUAUCUCUAACCGGUACUAUUUUUCAACGUGUGUCAGUUGAUCUAAAUUCCACUGACCCAAUUGAAAAAAAUGACGGACUUGAGAAUUUAGCAGGGUACAUCUGCCACAAACUCGGUAAAGACAACCCCGAAAUUUGUGCCAACUCAGAAAAUUGUUCGUCUUAUACUUGGGUGGAUCACCUUUCUGAAGGAGGACUCUCAAAACCAACAGAUAUGUUGACGGAGCAUAUGAGAGCCUUGCAAGCAGUAUUUGACGAUGUAAAUGGUACUGAUUUGCAUAUAUGUACAAAUUACGUCCAGAAGCACUUAGAUUUAAGUAAUUUUGUAAAUUGUAGCUCGAAAGUAAAAUAAUUGUUUUUCAGAGCUAGAAUGUAUUUUAGGAUUCGUUCCUUAAAUAAAAAUUUAAUUGAACAUAUGUAUAGCAAAAAAAGAAAAUUAAAUAAGACAAUAAAUUGAUACUUGGUCACAAAA